UACGGAGGGGGCAAGCGUUACUCGGAAUUACUGGGCGUAAAGGGCUCGUAGGCGGCCCCUUAAGUCAGACGUGAAAGCCCUCGGCUUAACCGGGGAACGGCGUCUGAGACUGAAGUGCUUGAAUCCGGGAGAGGGAUGCGGAAUUCCAGGUGUAGCGGUGAAAUGCGUAGAUAUCUGGAGGAACACCGGUGGCGAAGGCGGCAUCCUGGACCGGUAUUGACGCUGAGGAGCGAAAGCCAGGGGAGCAAACGGG
Molecule: ribosomal RNA, 253 nt
Filed under: uncultured bacterium
Lineage: Bacteria
Description: partial 16S ribosomal RNA
Rfam family: Bacterial small subunit ribosomal RNA
Source: RNAcentral